This 457-nucleotide ribosomal RNA is filed under the name uncultured bacterium. RNAcentral's name for it is "bacterial SSU rRNA". It matches the Rfam family "Bacterial small subunit ribosomal RNA", at positions 340 to 786 of the family's 1533-position model. The record is from RNAcentral.
UACGGGAGGCAGCAGUGGGGAAUAUUGCACAAUGGGCGAAAGCCUGAUGCAGCUAUGCCGCGUGUAUGAAGAAGGCCUUAGGGUUGUAAAGUACUUUUCAUCGGGGAGGAAAAAACAAAACUAAUAAUUUUAUUUCUUGACGUUACCCGAAAAAGAAGCACCGGCUAACUCCGUGCCAGCAGCCGCGGUAAUACGGAGGGUGCUAGCGUUAAUCAGAAUUACUGGGCGUAAAGAGCACGUAGGUGGUUUUUUUAAGUCAGAUGUGAAAUCCCUGGGCUUAACCUAGGAACUGCAUUUUGAAACUGAAAUACUAGAGUAUCGUAGAGGGAGGUAGAAUUCUAGGUGUAGCGGUGAAAUGCGUAGAUAUCUGGAGGAAUACCUGUGGCGAAAGCGGCCUCCUAAACGAAUACUGACACUGAGGUGCGAAAGCGUGGGGAGCAAACAGGGAUUAGAUACC